CCUACGGGCGGCAGCAGUGGGGAAUAUUGGACAAUGGGGGGAACCCUGAUCCAGCCAUGCCGCGUGUGUGAAGAAGGCCCUCGGGUUGUAAAGCACUUUCAGUGAGGAAGAACGCCUGGUGGUUAAUACCCAUCAGGAAAGACAUCACUCACAGAAGAAGCACCGGCUAACUCCGUGCCAGCAGCCGCGGUAAUACGGAGGGUGCGAGCGUUAAUCGGAAUUACUGGGCGUAAAGCGCGCGUAGGUGGCUUGAUAAGCCGGUUGUGAAAGCCCCGGGCUCAACCUGGGAACGGCAUCCGGAACUGUCAAGCUAGAGUGCAGGAGAGGAAGGUAGAAUUCCCGGUGUAGCGGUGAAAUGCGUAGAGAUCGGGAGGAAUACCAGUGGCGAAGGCGGCCUUCUGGACUGACACUGAUACUGAGGUGCGAAAGCGUGGGUAGCAAACAGGAUUAGAUACCCGUGUAGUC
Molecule: ribosomal RNA, 465 nt
Filed under: Vreelandella stevensii
Lineage: Bacteria; Pseudomonadati; Pseudomonadota; Gammaproteobacteria; Oceanospirillales; Halomonadaceae
Description: partial 16S ribosomal RNA
Rfam family: Bacterial small subunit ribosomal RNA
Source: RNAcentral